GUCCACGCCCUAAACGAUGUCUACUAGUUGUCGGGGCUUAAUUGACUUGGUAACGCAGCUAACGCGUGAAGUAGACCGCCUGGGGAGUACGGUCGCAAGAUUAAAACUCAAAGGAAUUGACGGGGACCCGCACAAGCGGUGGAUGAUGUGGAUUAAUUCGAUGCAACGCGAAAACCUUACCUACCCUUGACAUGGAAGGAAUCCCGGAGAGAUCUGGGAGUGCCCGAAAGGGAACCUUUACACAGGUGCUGCAUGGCUGUCGU
RNAcentral lists this ribosomal RNA (263 nucleotides) under uncultured bacterium. Its description in RNAcentral is "partial 16S ribosomal RNA". It matches the Rfam family "Bacterial small subunit ribosomal RNA", at positions 793 to 1055 of the family's 1533-position model. The record is from RNAcentral.